GACGAACGCUGGCGGCGUGCUUAACACAUGCAAGUCGAACGGAAAGGCCCUGCUUUUGUGGGGUUCUCGAGUGGCGAACGGGUGAGUAACACGUGAGUAACCUGCCCUUGACUUUGGGAUAACUUCAGGAAACUGGGGCUAAUACCGGACAGGAGCUCCUGCUGCAUGGUGGGGGUUGGAAAGUUUCGGCGGUUGGGGAUGGACUCGCGGCUUAUCAGCUUGCUGGUGGGGUAGUGGCUUACCAAGGCUUUGACUGGUAGCCGGCCUGAGAGGGUGACCGGCCACAUUGGGACUGAGGUACGGCCCAGAGUCCUACGGGAGGCAGCAGUGGGGAAUAUUGCACAAUGAGCGGACGCCUGAUGCAGCAACGCCGCGUGCGGGAUGACGGCCUUCGGGGUGUAAACCGCUUUCGCCUGUGACGAAGCGUGAGUGACGGUAAUGGGUAAAGAAGCACCGGCUAACUACGUG
Molecule: ribosomal RNA, 468 nt
Filed under: uncultured bacterium
Lineage: Bacteria
Description: partial 16S ribosomal RNA
Rfam family: Bacterial small subunit ribosomal RNA
Source: RNAcentral